CGAAAGUGCCUUUCCGAUCUGCGGCGAUUGUUUGUGUGAGAACUUCAAUCAUCCCAGCUCAGAAGGCACUUUUCUUAUACCGACACCCGCGCCACCAUCAGUUCAGUCGGUGGAUCGAG
Molecule: non-coding RNA, 119 nt
Organism: Mycobacterium heraklionense
Lineage: Bacteria; Bacillati; Actinomycetota; Actinomycetes; Mycobacteriales; Mycobacteriaceae
Source: Rfam